GCCGGGCGCAAUGGCGCGUGCCUGUAGUCCCAGCUACUAGGGAGGCUGAGGCUGGAGGAUCACUUGAGUCCAGGAGUUCUGGGCUGUAGUGCGCUAUGCCAAUUGGGUGUCUGCACUAAGUUCGGCAUCAAUAUGGUGACCUCCCAGAAGCGAGGGACCAUUAGGUUGCCUAAGGAGGGGUGAAUUGGCCCAGGUUGGAAACGGAGCAGGUCAAAACUCCCGUGCUGAUCAGUAGUGGGAUCGCACCUGUGAAUAGCCACUGCACUCCAGCCUGGGCAACAUAGCAAGGCCCUGAGUCUU
This is an unclassified non-coding RNA of Callithrix jacchus (white-tufted-ear marmoset), 300 nucleotides long. It matches the Rfam family "Metazoan signal recognition particle RNA". Rfam says of the family: The signal recognition particle (SRP) is a universally conserved ribonucleoprotein. It is involved in the co-translational targeting of proteins to membranes. Lineage: Eukaryota; Metazoa; Chordata; Mammalia; Primates; Cebidae. The record is from Ensembl.